GAAUGUCACCUGGCCACAACAUCUGUCACCCUAUUGAUCACCAGGGUUGAUUGGACUCCCGCUUAUCUGGCUAGAUAUCUCCUUCCUCCCGGCUCCAUGUGCAUCCCUCCCCAAUCUAUGUGUUUGGUUGAAGACAGCAAUUUUCUAUAAUAGAAGAAUUCUACUGUUCACUCAAGGAUGAACACAAUAGCUGUGCUCAUACACAUAAAAUAAAAAUAAUAAAUUUAAAAAAUUUUUCAAAAGGACCAAAAGCCGGGUGUGGUGGCGCACUCCUUU
RNAcentral lists this small nuclear RNA (276 nucleotides) under Nannospalax galili (Upper Galilee mountains blind mole rat). RNAcentral's name for it is "7SK RNA (ENSNGAG00000003433.1)". It matches the Rfam family "7SK RNA". From Rfam's summary of the family: 7SK was discovered as an abundant small nuclear RNA in the mid-70s but a possible function has only recently been suggested. Two independent studies have found that 7SK RNA binds the CDK9/cyclin T complex (known as elongation factor P-TEFb). The record is from Rfam by way of RNAcentral. Lineage: Eukaryota; Metazoa; Chordata; Mammalia; Rodentia; Spalacidae.